RNAcentral lists this ribosomal RNA (508 nucleotides) under uncultured bacterium. Its description in RNAcentral is "partial 16S ribosomal RNA". It matches the Rfam family "Bacterial small subunit ribosomal RNA", at positions 28 to 507 of the family's 1533-position model. The record is from RNAcentral.
GACGAACGCUGGCGGCGUGCUUAACACAUGCAAGUCGAACGGGAUAAUUUGAGAGCUUGCUCUUAGAGAAUCUAGUGGCAAACGGGUGAGUAACACGUAGACAACCUGCCGACAGGAUGGGGACAACAUUCCGAAAGGAAUGCUAAUACCGAAUGAAGCGGAGGAGAGGCAUCUCUCCUCCGUGAAAGAUGGCCUCUGAAUAUGCUAUCACCUGUCGAUGGGUCUGCGUCUGAUUAGCUAGUUGGUGAGGUAACGGCUCACCAAGGCGACGAUCAGUAGCCGGUCUGAGAGGAUGAACGGCCACAUUGGGACUGAGACACGGCCCAGACUCCUACGGGAGGCAGCAGUGGGGAAUCUUCCGCAAUGGGCGCAAGCCUGACGGAGCAACGCCGCGGGAGUGAAGAAGGGCUUCGGAUCGUAAAGCUCUGUUGACGGGGACGAACGUGCGAAGGGUGAAUAAUCCUUUGUAAUGACGGUACCUGUCGAGGAAGCCACGGCUAACUACGUG